GAUUUAUAAUACUCUAGAUUGCGCCUUACGAUCUUAAAAUGGGUGACGGUUGCGACAGAGAUAAAUGAGCCUAUUUGGUCGGUAGUCUCUUUCUAAUUCAAGGGGAGUAUCGACGACGUCACUAUCCUACUCUGUCGUCGAGUAUUUUAGAUGGUUUGACAGUUCGAGCGGAUGGCGACGAGAACUGGUCGUUUGUCUUCGGACGUGGAUAAUCCUGGUUCGAAUCCCAUACCAAUCUUUACUUUUUUUAUUUUUUAUUUAAUCAAUAUUGCGUUUAUUAGAUAUUAUUACAUCUCUAAAAUAAAUCUAUGCAAAGAAAUAUAUAUAUAACAAAUAAGAAAAACUGUGUAGGUACCUAUAGAUUUUUAAAAAUAUAAAAGCCAAUGUUAUUUUUUUUAAUAAGUUAAUGGUAGAAUAGUAUAAAGUAGGUAAUUAAAACUAUUCGUAAAAAAUUACCAAUAAUUAAUAAAUAUCAACAUAAUGUACCAUCGAUUUAUUAAUUGAAUCGGUCAUUUCAAAAACAACACGAGUCACAUAUUCCUAAUUUUACAGAAGAGCAAAGAAAACUUAACUAUGUAGUCGAAAGAUGGAUGAAAUGGAUGACAUCAAAAUUCAGAGUUAUAUUGUAGUUUUGUUCCUAAUGUUUUUACUGGACUGGUGUCGUUUUUGCACACAACGUUUAUCUUAAAGUAGUCUAUUCCUCUCAAAAAGUUAGUUUCUCAAAAUUGUGGACUUUGCUGUUUUUGAAAUGACCGAUUAAAUUAUAAGUAAUUAGACAUUAUUUUUAUUUAUGAAACUAUUGUUACAAUUUUUUAAAAAAGUAGAAGCCAAACAAAUAUUAUUCACAUCAUUCGAAUAAGGACGAAUUUAUAUUAACAACGAAUGACUUUUAUUUUACUAUGCAGUUCACAAAUUAUGUAUUCCAAUAUUAACUUACUAUACAUAGGUACAUUUAUUAUCUGCUAGAUUAACUUAGGUCCAUUUUUCAGAUGUAAAAAUAUCUAAUAAACACAAUAUUGAUUAAAUAAAAAUAAAAAAGGUAAAGUUGGUAUGGGAUUCGAACCACGAUUAUCCACGUCCGAAGACCUAAGACCAUUUCUCGUCACCACCCGCUCCAACUGUCAACACAUAUUACUCGAUAAAGUGGGAUAGUCACGUCGUCGAUAUUCCCCUUAAAUUAAAAAGAGACUACCGACCAAAUAGGCUCAUUUAUCUCUGUCGCAACCGUCACCCAUUUUAAGAUCGCAGGGCGCAAUCUAGAGUAUUAUAUAUCUAUGCUUGGAGCUUAAAAGUUACAAAACUAAGGUUAUGUUUUAUGUUUUUAUCGUCGUGGUCGUUUGUUUGUCCUAGUAUUUUAUCCUAUUUUGGAUUCAUUUGGAUUUUGUUGGCUGUUUUGUGUGUAUUUUUUAAAACUUUUGUUUGUCAUUUGUAAAUUUUAUAAAUUUACCACAAUGCAAAGUGACUAUUUAAGGAAAUUAUUAUUGGAAACUCCGCAGAUGUUUUAGAAAGAUAUUCAUUGAAGCUGAAAAUAAUUGGAGAUUUAGAUCCAUAUACAAUUCAGUCAUCAGAAUUGGAUUUUACAGUGCAUUCCAUCAAUUAAUGCUAUUAUAGAUAGACUGGUAGAGUCUCACAGUUACUACUUUAAGCAGCAGAUGAAAGCAUACAAAAGCCUUCAGACACAUAAAAGACUUCACAACUGGAUUUGUUUUGAAACAUUUGAUGUUUUGAUGAUUUCUAUAUUAUUGUUGGAAAGGUGAAAAAUUCCCAAAAAGCUAAUGCUAAACCACUAGAUGCUUGGGUGAUAGCCAGUUCCAAUGGCAUAGCAAAUGCACAUUGUAUGUGUAUUGCCGGUAAUAGUGAAGUUUGCAGCCAUAUUGCAGCAAUCUUAUUUGCAGCUGAGUAUGCCCACAGCAAGACAGAAGAAGAAGAACCCAGUGCAUGUACAGAUGUUACAGCUAUGUAUAUUCUCUGGUGAAAAACUAAUGAGUUUUCAAGCUGUUCGGUCAGAGUGCUUGUUGCGCUCUCUAAACGAACUGAAAUAUAAGACGGCUUUGGCUUCAUGUUGCAGCGAUAUGAAAAUGGUUAGUCAUUUUUAAUUAUAAUGUACUUCUUCAUCAUGAGUAUUUAUGUAUAGGGCUUUUCAUUCACAGUCAUUUGUUUCGAGCUUCUGUCAUGUGUCACAUAAUAUUAAUAUUAUAUCUAUGUCAUACGUUAUUGGUAUAUACCAAUGAUACACACCAAAGACAUAUGGUGUGUAGAUAUAUUAAUAUUAUGUGACACAUGACAGAUGCUCGAAACAAAUGACAGUCGAUAAAAAGCCCUAUUAGUCUUUUAAGUGUGUAUUAUCAGAUAUCACAUGUAAAUUGUUUUUAUCAUUUUAAUUUGGUCAUUACAGUCCCUUAAUCAAAAAAUAUAUUUUUCAGGUGUCUGUGGAUCUUUUUGUAUGCAAAAAUGUGUAAUAAUUAUUUGAAAUCAUUUUGAGGAUUAUAAGAGUAUGGAAAUAUAUGUGAGAACACAGACUAUUAUAGUUUUGUCCUAUUUUUUAUCAUUCAAUCGUCUUCUUUAAAAUAUAUAAAUAUAAAGCAGAUAGUUUUCAUUGAAAUUCAAUAUAUUGGGUCUUACUUGUAUGUAUUCAUUUUUGACUAAAGGUACGAUUCCGAUAACGACUGCAGACAGCAACUGCAAACAUCAGUUGCAGUUCUCGGCGUUAUGGACGUUACUACUUUGCACUAUUUAUCUGUAUGAGACUGAUUCCGACAUCUGACUGCAACUGCUGUCUGGCAGAACAUCAGUUGCUAAUAAUUAUGCAAAUUAUUAGUGCAAAAUAAUUACGUCUGUCAUGGUGACAACUGUAACUGCCAUCUGCAGUCGUUAUCGGAAUCGUACCUUUAAAGUGUGUGGUAUAAUUAUAAUAAUUAUAUAUAUUAUAUAACUUAAAUGGUUUAAACUUAAGUUUGUUAUUACAUUGUGACUUAAAUGUUUAAUUUGUUAAUAAAUGAUUUAUUAGUU
This 3009-nucleotide long non-coding RNA is filed under the name Diabrotica virgifera virgifera (western corn rootworm). RNAcentral's name for it is "uncharacterized LOC126887505". The record is from RNAcentral. Lineage: Eukaryota; Metazoa; Arthropoda; Insecta; Coleoptera; Chrysomelidae.